UACGAAGGGGGCGAGCGUUGUUCGGAUUUACUGGGCGUAAAGGGUGCGCAGGCGGCCAAGUGUGUGAGGCGUGAAAGCCCGAAGCUUAACUUCGGAAUUGCACCUCAAACUACAUGGCUAGAGCAUUGGAGAGGGUAGCGGAAUUCACGGUGUAGCAGUGAAAUGCGUAGAUAUCGUGAGGAACACCAGAGGCGAAGGCGGCUACCUGGACAAUUGCUGACGCUCAGGCACGAAAGCGUGGGGAGCAAAAGGG
RNAcentral lists this ribosomal RNA (253 nucleotides) under uncultured bacterium. Its description in RNAcentral is "partial 16S ribosomal RNA". It matches the Rfam family "Bacterial small subunit ribosomal RNA", at positions 524 to 776 of the family's 1533-position model. The record is from RNAcentral.